This 485-nucleotide ribosomal RNA is filed under the name uncultured bacterium. Its description in RNAcentral is "partial 16S ribosomal RNA". It matches the Rfam family "Bacterial small subunit ribosomal RNA", at positions 29 to 523 of the family's 1533-position model. The record is from RNAcentral.
AGUGAACGCUGGCGGCGUGCUUAACACAUGCAAGUCGAACGAGAACGGAAUAUAGCUUGCUAUAUUUGUCAGCUAAGUGGCGCACGGGUGAGUAAUGUAUAGAUAACCUGCCCUUAAGAAAGGAAUAACAGUUGGAAACGACUGCUAAUGCCCUAUAUGCCUUUAAUACAUAAGUAUGCAAGGGAAACGCUUUAGUGCUUAAGGAUGGGUCUGUAUGGUAUCAGCUUGUUGGUGAGGUAAUGGCUCACCAAGGCUAUGACGCCUAACUGGUUUGAGAGGAUGGUCAGUCACACUGGAACUGCGACACGGUCCAGACUCCUACGGGAGGCAGCAGUGGGGAAUAUUGCACAAUGGACGAAAGUCUGAUGCAGCAACGCCGCGUGGAGGAUGACACAUUUCGGUGCGUAAACUCCUUUUAUAUAGGAAGAUAAUGACGGUACUAUAUGAAUAAGCACCGGCUAACUCCGUGCCAGCAGCCGCCGUAA